GGAGCUAAUCCCUUAAAGCUACUCUCAGUUCGGAUUGUAGGCUGAAACUCGCCUACAUGAAGCUGGAGUUACUAGUAAUCGCAGAUCAGAAUGCUGCGGUGAAUGCGUUCCCGGGUCUUGUACACACCGCCCGUCACACCACGGGAGUUGGAGACGCCCGAAGCCGAUUAUCUAACCUUUUGGAAGAAGUCGUCGAAGGUGGAAU
RNAcentral lists this ribosomal RNA (205 nucleotides) under Clostridioides difficile. RNAcentral describes it as "partial 16S ribosomal RNA". It matches the Rfam family "Bacterial small subunit ribosomal RNA", at positions 1264 to 1468 of the family's 1533-position model. Lineage: Bacteria; Bacillati; Bacillota; Clostridia; Peptostreptococcales; Peptostreptococcaceae. The record is from RNAcentral.